RNAcentral lists this ribosomal RNA (460 nucleotides) under uncultured bacterium. Its description in RNAcentral is "SSU rRNA". It matches the Rfam family "Bacterial small subunit ribosomal RNA", at positions 26 to 518 of the family's 1533-position model. The record is from RNAcentral.
AGAAUCAACGCUGGCGGCGUGCCUAACACAUGCAAGUCGAACGAGAAAGUGGAGCAAUCCAUGAGUAAAGUGGCGCACGGGUGAGUAACACGUGACUAACCUACCUUUUAGUGGGGGAUAACCUAGGGAAACCUGGACUAAUACCGCAUAACACUUACGAGUCAAAGCAGCAAUGCGCUGGAAGAGGGGGUCGCGGCCGAUUAGCUAGUUGGCGGGGUAAUGGCCCACCAAGGCAGUGAUCGGUAUCCGGCCUGAGAGGGCGCACGGACACACUGGAACUGAAACACGGUCCAGACUCCUACGGGAGGCAGCAGUGGGGAAUUUUGCGCAAUGGGGGAAACCCUGACGCAGCAACGCCGCGUGGAGGAUGAAGUCCCUUGGGACGUAAACUCCUUUCGAUCGGGACGAUAAUGACGGUACCGGAAGAAGAAGCCCCGGCUAACUUCGUGCCAGCAGCCGC